Molecule: long non-coding RNA, 404 nt
Filed under: Struthio camelus australis
Lineage: Eukaryota; Metazoa; Chordata; Aves; Struthioniformes; Struthionidae
Description: lncRNA (ENSSCUG00000012143.1)
Source: RNAcentral
GAAUGAAGUGAAACCAUUACUGUAAACACAGAAGACAUUCAGCAAUGUUCCGAAGCACAGAUUUUUGGCAGCAGUAAGCUCUCUCCAGAUAGCUGCUUGGGAGUUUACACAUUGGUCACAUAUGAAUCCAUUUUGUGAACCUUACUCAAAUCUGCACCUGCCUCCCAGAGACAAACGGAAAGGGGAAGGCAUCCAGGUUUAUCCCCAGCUGGAGAAAAGAUACCUAACAAACAUAGCUGCUCUUGCAGGACCACUGCGUGCAGAAGAUAAAUGUCAUCAAGCUCCCAUCUAUUUAUAUGUGCCAUGAAGUUGGAAGCAAGAAAAUGAGAGCUUCAAAAAGGUAAAAUGUGUGUGUGUGUAUCUAUCUAUCUAUAUAAAAAUAAAAGAAAACAAAAUCUUAUCCA